RNAcentral lists this long non-coding RNA (277 nucleotides) under Nicotiana benthamiana. RNAcentral's name for it is "long non-coding RNA (NBEN_LNC015584)". The record is from RNAcentral. Lineage: Eukaryota; Viridiplantae; Streptophyta; Magnoliopsida; Solanales; Solanaceae.
GCGGAGUGCUGGCCCGUGAAGAACUCGCAUGUUCAGAGAAUGAAGGUUGCGGAGAUGAGGAUGCUUAGGUGGAUGUGUGGGCACACUAGGCUGGAUAAGGUCAAGAAUGAAGUUAUUCGACAGAAGGUAGGGGUGGCUCCGGUGGACGAAAAGAUGCGGGAAGCGAGGCUGAGGUUGUUCAGGCAUGUUCGGAGGAGGGGCCCCGAUGCCCCUGUGAGGAGCUGCGAGCGACUGGAGAUUGUUGGUGGUCGGCGAGGGAGAGGGAGGCCUAAGAAGN